GAUGAACGCUGGCGGCGUGCCUAACACAUGCAAGUGGAGCGACGAACCCGGACUUGUCCGGGGGCAAAGCCGCGAACGGGUGAGUAACACGUGGAUUAUCUGCCCCAAUGACCGGGACAACUCGAGGAAACUCGAGCUAAUACCGGAUGUGCUCUUCGGAGGAAAGGAAGCUUCGGCCUCCGCAUUGGGAUGAGUCCGCGGUGCAUUAGCUAGUUGGUGGGGGAAAGGCCCACCAAGGCGACGAUGCAUAGCUGGUCUGAGAGGACGAUCAGCCACACUGGAGCUGAGACACGGUCCAGACUCCUACGGGAGGCAGCGGUGGGGAAUCUUGCGCACUGCACGAAAGUGUGACGCAGCAACGCCGCGUGCGGGAAGAAGGUCUUCGGAUCGUAAACCGCUUUCAGUUGGGACGAGGGUUACACGGUGAAUAGCCGGCGUAACUGACGGUACCUUCAGAAGAAGCCCCGGCUAACUACGUGCCAGCCGCCGCAGUAA
RNAcentral lists this ribosomal RNA (495 nucleotides) under uncultured bacterium. RNAcentral describes it as "partial 16S ribosomal RNA". It matches the Rfam family "Bacterial small subunit ribosomal RNA", at positions 28 to 523 of the family's 1533-position model. The record is from RNAcentral.